Molecule: ribosomal RNA, 494 nt
Filed under: uncultured bacterium
Lineage: Bacteria
Description: partial 16S ribosomal RNA
Rfam family: Bacterial small subunit ribosomal RNA
Source: RNAcentral
GACGAACGCUGGCGGCGUGCUUAACACAUGCAAGUCGAACGGUGAAGCGCCUUCCUUUUUGGUGGGUGUGGAUGAGUGGCGAACGGGUGAGUAACACGUGAGUAACCUGCCCCCUUCUUCUGGAUAACCGCAUGAAAGUGUGGCUAAUACGGGAUAUUCUGGGUCUGUCGCAUGAUGGGUCUGGGAAAGAUAUUGUUUCGGUGGGGGAUGGGCUCGCGGCCUAUCAGCUUGUUGGUGGGGUGAUGGCCUACCAAGGCGGUGACGGGUAGCCGGCCUGGGAGGGUGGACGGUCAUACUGGGAGUGCGACACGGCGCAGACUCCUACGGGAGGCAGCAGUGGGGAAUAGUGCACAGUGGGCGCAAGCCUGAUGCAGCGACGCCGCGUGAGGGAUGGAGGCCUUCGGGUUGUGAACCUCUUUCGCCAGUGAAGCAGGCCUGCCUCGUUUGUGGGUGGGUUGACGGUAGCUGGAUAAGAAGCGCCGGCUAACUACGUG